Molecule: ribosomal RNA, 424 nt
Filed under: Verrucomicrobiota bacterium
Lineage: Bacteria; Pseudomonadati; Verrucomicrobiota
Description: Verrucomicrobia bacterium partial 16S ribosomal RNA
Rfam family: Bacterial small subunit ribosomal RNA
Source: RNAcentral
UGAGGAAUAUUUGUCAAUGGGCGAGAGCCUGAACCAGCCAAGUAGCGUGCAGGAUGACGGCCCUAUGGGUUGUAAACUGCUUUUAUAUGGGAAUAAAGUGAGGGACGUGUCCCUUAUUGCAUGUACCAUACGAAUAAGGACCGCCUAAUUCCGUUCCAGCAGCCGCGGUAAUACGGAAGGUCCAGGCGUUAUCCGGAUUUAUUGGGUUUAAAGGGAGCGUAGGCUGUUUGUUAAGCGUGUUGUGAAAUGUAGGAGCUCAACUUUUAGAUUGCAGCGCGAACUGGCAGACUUGAGUGCGCACAACGUAGGCGGAAUUCAUGGUGUAGCGGUGAAAUGCUUAGAUAUCAUGACAAACUCCGAUUGCGAAGGCAGCUUACGGGAGCGCAACUGACGCUAAAGCUCGAAGGUGCGGGUAUCGAACAGG